GCCGGGCGCGGUGGCGCUCGCCUGUAGUCCCAGCUACUCCAGAGGCUGAGGCUGGAGGAUCGCUUGAGCCCAGGAGUUCUGGGCUGUAGGGCGCUAUGCCGAUCGGGUGUCCACACUAAGUUCGGCAUCAGUAUGGUGACCUCCCGGGAGCGGGGGACCACCAGGUUGCCUAAGGAGGGGUGAACCGGCCCAGGUCGGAAACGGAGCAGGUCAAAGACUUAAGAGAAUAAAAUUAGCUAUCGUAUCUGUAAAGUCAAAUUUAUUUUUAGUUCAACGACCAUCCUCGA
Molecule: signal recognition particle RNA, 287 nt
Filed under: Zalophus californianus (California sea lion)
Lineage: Eukaryota; Metazoa; Chordata; Mammalia; Carnivora; Otariidae
Description: Metazoan signal recognition particle RNA (ENSZCAG00015007781.1)
Rfam family: Metazoan signal recognition particle RNA
About the family: The signal recognition particle (SRP) is a universally conserved ribonucleoprotein. It is involved in the co-translational targeting of proteins to membranes. The eukaryotic SRP consists of a 300-nucleotide 7S RNA and six proteins: SRPs 72, 68, 54, 19, 14, and 9.
Source: RNAcentral